This 253-nucleotide ribosomal RNA is filed under the name uncultured bacterium. RNAcentral's name for it is "partial 16S ribosomal RNA". It matches the Rfam family "Bacterial small subunit ribosomal RNA", at positions 524 to 776 of the family's 1533-position model. The record is from RNAcentral.
UACGGGGGGGGCAAGCGUUGUUCGGAAUUACUGGGCGUAAAGGGCUCGUAGGUGGCCAACUAAGUCAGAUGUGAAAUCCCCGGGCUCAACCUGGGAACUGCAUUUGUGACUGCAUCGCUGGAGUGCGGCAGAGGGGGAUGGAAUUCCGCGUGUAGCAGUGAAAUGCGUAGAUAUGCGGAGGAACACCGAUGGCGAAGGCAAUCCCCUGGGCCUGCACUGACGCUCAUGCACGAAAGCGUGGGGAGCAAACAGG